UGUGAGCCACUGCACCCAGCCUAUUUUAAAAAUAUUCUCAAGGCGUUCCAUUGUGUGGCUAUACUGUUUUAUUUAACUAAUUCCUGAUUGAUGCGCAGUUAGCUUGUUUCUAGUCUGCCACUGUAACAAUGCUGCUGCCGGAAUCUUUCCACUUGUCUAGGCAUCCGGCAACCGCAGGAGAAGGGGGUCGUGCCUUUGAAUUCUGACAGAUAAGGCUGCAUCACCCUCCCCAGAGGUCAGACCAACUUACCACGUCCCUACAGUGUGUGAAGCGCUGUCUCCUGCCUGCCCUCCCCAGGGAGGGUUUUGACAUGGCUGACAUCUGAGAGACGCUGGGCAGAGAGAUGACGGCAGCAUGAUGUGCACCUAGUAUGUGCUUGGUGCUUCACAAACAUCAUCUAUAAUCCUCACCUGGCAGGUGGAGCAGCAGACUCAGAGAGGUGAAGGGACUGACCCUAAAACUUACAAGGAGACACAGCAGAGUUUCAGCCACUGGGCUUGCCCCAUGCUGUAUAGACACGGCUGGAUCUUGUUAACCACAGAGGAGCAAGUGGGGGCUCGGAGAAGUGAAGCCACUCACCCUGGAUCACAGGCUCUGGAAGCGAGGAAUCCUGGAGUCAAGCUCAGGACCAUCCAAAGCCCGGCUUGUGCUGCUGCUACCGCUUCACGUCACCCUAUGGUGUCCAUCGUCCAUUCCAUCGGGGGCCGUGUUUGCUUUGAAGAUGGAAGGAGAUGACGCAAGGAACUGAGCCCAGUGACUGUCGGAUGGAGCGCCCUCUAAUGAUUUGCUGUCAUCACCUUGAAAUUCUCAACAAUUUUUUAACAAAG
Lemur catta (Ring-tailed lemur) is the source of this 828-nucleotide long non-coding RNA. RefSeq lists it as uncharacterized. The transcript is spliced from 2 exons. The record is from RefSeq and is a predicted model, not a curated record. NCBI's taxonomy places the organism in Eukaryota, Metazoa, Chordata, Mammalia, Primates, Lemuridae.